AACGAACGCUGGCGGCGUGCCUAACACAUGCAAGUCGAACGAGAAAGGGGCUUCGGCUCCGAGUAAAGUGGCGCACGGGUGAGUAACACGUGGGUAACCUGCCUCUAAGAUUGGGAUAACUCGUCGAAAGAUGAGCUAAUACCGAAUAAGACCACAGUUCCCGCGGGAACAGGGGUCAAAGGUAGCCUCUGCUUGCAAGCUAUCACUUAGAGAUGGGCCUGCGCACCCUUAGCUAGUUGGUAGGGUAACGGCCUACCAAGGCAAAGAUGGUUAGCUGGUCUGAGACGAUGAUCAGCCCCACUGGAACUGAGACACGGUCCAGACUCCUACGGGAGGCAGCAGUGGGGAAUAUUGCGCAAUGGGCGAAAGCUUGACGCAGCAACGCCGCGUGAGUGAUGAAGGCCUUCGUGUCGUAAAGCUCUGUCGGGAGGAACGAAUGCUCCUGAGGUUAACAGCCUCGGGAGGUGACGGUACCUUCAAAGGAAGCACCGGCUAACUCUGUG
Molecule: ribosomal RNA, 503 nt
Filed under: uncultured bacterium
Lineage: Bacteria
Description: partial 16S ribosomal RNA
Rfam family: Bacterial small subunit ribosomal RNA
Source: RNAcentral